This 474-nucleotide ribosomal RNA is filed under the name uncultured bacterium. Its description in RNAcentral is "bacterial SSU rRNA". It matches the Rfam family "Bacterial small subunit ribosomal RNA", at positions 355 to 825 of the family's 1533-position model. The record is from RNAcentral.
UGGGGAAUAUUGCGCAAUGGGCGAAAGCCUGACGCAGCAACGCCGCGUGAGUGAUGAAGGCCUUCGGGUCGUAAAGCUCUGUCGGAGGGAACGAAUGCUCCUGAAGUUAACAGCCUCAGGAGGUGACGGUACCCUCAAAGGAAGCACCGGCUAACUCUGUGCCAGCAGCCGCGGUAAUACAGAGGGUGCAAGCGUUGUUCGGAUUUACUGGGCGUAAAGGGCGCGUAGGCGGCAAUUCAAGUCAUCUGUGAAAUCUCCGGGCUUAACUCGGAACGGUCAGAUGAUACUGCUUUGCUAGAGUGCAGAAGGGGCAAUCGGAAUUCUUGGUGUAGCGGUGAAAUGCGUAGAUAUCAAGAGGAACACCUGAGGUGAAGACGGGUUGCUGGGCUGACACUGACGCUGGGGCGCGAAAGCCAGGGGAGCAAACGGGAUUAGAUACCCGAUGUAGUCCCUGAGCGGGCUGGCAAGGCGCAU